This 575-nucleotide ribosomal RNA is filed under the name Hepatozoon canis. RNAcentral's name for it is "SSU rRNA". It matches the Rfam family "Eukaryotic small subunit ribosomal RNA", at positions 188 to 755 of the family's 1831-position model. Lineage: Eukaryota; Apicomplexa; Hepatozoidae. The record is from RNAcentral.
UUUAUUAGAAGAGACGCAUUUAUUAGAUAAAAAGCCAAUGCAUGCUUUUACAGUAUGAAAAUUGGUGAUUUAUAAUAACUUAGCAAAUCGCAUAGUGAAAACAGGCGAUAAAUCAUUCAAGUUUCUGACCUAUCAGCUUUCGACGGUAUGGUAUUGGCUUACCGUGGCAGUGACGGUUAACGGGGGAUUAGGGUUCGAUUCCGGAGAGGGAGCCUGAGAAACGGCUACCACAUCUAAGGAAGGCAGCAGGCGCGCAAAUUACCCAAUUCUAACAGUUUGAGAGAGGUAGUAACAAGAAAUAACAAUACAAGGCAGUUAAAAUGCUUUGUAAUUGGAAUGAUAGAAAUUUAAACCCUUUUUAAAGUAUCAAUUGGAGGGCAAGUCUGGUGCCAGCAGCCGCGGUAAUUCCAGCUCCAAUAGCGUAUAUUAAAAUUGUUGCAGUUAAAAAGCUCGUAGUUGAAGUUCUGCUAAAAGUAACCGGUCUGCUUUGAAUAAAAGUGGUAUCUUGGUAUGUAUUUAGCAAUGAUGUCCUUUGAAGUGUUUUUUACUUUAUUGUAAUAAAGCAUAUUCAGGAC